Molecule: ribosomal RNA, 468 nt
Filed under: uncultured bacterium
Lineage: Bacteria
Description: partial 16S ribosomal RNA
Rfam family: Bacterial small subunit ribosomal RNA
Source: RNAcentral
GACGAACGCUGGCGGCGUGCUUAACACAUGCAAGUCGAACGGAAAGGCCCUGCGUUUGUGGGGUGCUCGAGUGGCGAACGGGUGAGUAACACGUGAGUAACCUGCCCUUGACUUUGGGAUAACUUCAGGGAACUGGGGCUAAUAUCGGAUAGGAGCUCCUGCUGCAUGGUGGGGGUUGGAAAGUUUCGGCGGUUGGGGAUGGACUCGCGGCUUAUCAGCUUGUUGGUGGGGUAGUGGCUUACCAAGGCUUUGACGGGGAGCCGGCCUGAGAGGGUGACCGGCCACAUUGGGACUGAGAUACGGGCCAGACUCCUACGGGAGGCAGCAGUGGGGAAUAUUGCACAAUGGGCGGAAGCCUGAUGCAGCAACGCCGCGUGCGGGAUGACGGCCUUCGGGUUGUAAACCGCUUUCGCCUGUGACGAAGCGUGAGUGACGGUAAUGGGUAAAGAAGCACCGGCUAACUACGUG